GGGGGAGGUUUUGAUCUUCAUUUCUAGGAAGGAGGUUGCUAAAAGAGGUUAGUUUAUGUCCCUAUUGCCUCAAUUUGCUCAUUCUAGCUCAAUUUGAGCCACUUUUUGGAUCUAGGGUUUCACCAUGAGUGAGAGAGAAGAAUAGCUAGCUUUUUGUCUUGAUUUGUUGAUAUGGUUAGAUGGGGUUGUUUAAUAUGGUUGG
Molecule: long non-coding RNA, 202 nt
Filed under: Sorghum bicolor (sorghum)
Lineage: Eukaryota; Viridiplantae; Streptophyta; Magnoliopsida; Poales; Poaceae
Description: long non-coding RNA (SBIC_LNC009121)
Source: RNAcentral